This 189-nucleotide unclassified non-coding RNA is filed under the name Glomus sp. RNAcentral's name for it is "partial contains 5.8S ribosomal RNA and internal transcribed spacer 2". The stretch from base 1 to 65 matches the Rfam family "5.8S ribosomal RNA", at positions 84 to 154 of the family's 154-position model. Lineage: Eukaryota; Fungi; Glomeromycota; Glomeromycetes; Glomerales; Glomeraceae. The record is from RNAcentral.
GUGAAUCAUCGAAUUUUUGAACGCAAAUUGCACUCUCUUCGGAGAGUAUGCCUGUUUGAGGGUCAGCCUAUAAAAAAAUCGACAUAGUCGCUGUUUCGCGGUGAUAUUCGUCGGAUAUUGGGUCAUCUUAAACCUUUGGGUUUUAUGCGGCAUAAAAUUUUCUUUAUGAUAAUACGAACGCUUCUAAGA